UCCUGGCUGUGCCAACUUUGU
RNAcentral lists this microRNA (21 nucleotides) under Eptesicus fuscus (big brown bat). RNAcentral's name for it is "efu-miR-9291". The record is from miRBase by way of RNAcentral. Lineage: Eukaryota; Metazoa; Chordata; Mammalia; Chiroptera; Vespertilionidae.